GCCGCGUGCAGGAUGACGGCUUAUGAGUUGUAAACUGCUUUUGUACGAGGGUAACGCAGAUACGUGUAUCUGUCUGAAAGUAUCGUACGAAUAAGGAUCGGCUAACUCCGUGCCAGCAGCCGCGGUAAUACGGAGGAUUCAAGCGUUAUCCGGAUUUAUUGGGUUUAAAGGGUGCGUAGGCGGUUUGAUAAGUUAGAGGUGAAAUUUCGGGGCUCAACCCUGAACGUGCCUCUAAUACUGUUGAGCUAGAGAGUAGUUGCGGUAGGCGGAAUGUAUGGUGUAGCGGUGAAAUG
Molecule: ribosomal RNA, 293 nt
Filed under: uncultured bacterium
Lineage: Bacteria
Description: partial 16S ribosomal RNA
Rfam family: Bacterial small subunit ribosomal RNA
Source: RNAcentral